Molecule: transfer RNA, 77 nt
Filed under: Hyphomicrobium sp.
Lineage: Bacteria; Pseudomonadati; Pseudomonadota; Alphaproteobacteria; Hyphomicrobiales; Hyphomicrobiaceae
Description: tRNA-Arg
Rfam family: tRNA
About the family: Transfer RNA (tRNA) molecules are approximately 80 nucleotides in length. Their secondary structure includes four short double-helical elements and three loops (D, anti-codon, and T loops). Further hydrogen bonds mediate the characteristic L-shaped molecular structure. tRNAs have two regions of fundamental functional importance: the anti-codon, which is responsible for specific mRNA codon recognition, and the 3' end, to which the tRNAs corresponding amino acid is attached (by aminoacyl-tRNA synthetases). tRNAs cope with the degeneracy of the genetic code in two manners: having more than one tRNA (with a specific anti-codon) for a particular amino acid; and 'wobble' base-pairing, i.e. permitting non-standard base-pairing at the 3rd anti-codon position.
Source: RNAcentral
GAUCCCGUAGCUCAGUUGGAUAGAGCAUCUGCCUUCUAAGCAGAGGGUCGCAGGUUCAAGUCCUGCCGGGAUCGCCA